This 5868-nucleotide long non-coding RNA is filed under the name Sus scrofa (pig). Its description in RNAcentral is "lncRNA (ENSSSCG00005025410.1)". Lineage: Eukaryota; Metazoa; Chordata; Mammalia; Artiodactyla; Suidae. The record is from RNAcentral.
GCACAGCUGCUGAGAGCCCAGUGUCUUCUAUUUGGUUCAAAGAGGUGCUGGUGCAGACCCAGCAUGGCCACCCCCUUGCCUCCAUAGGCAAAGUUAAAAGUUCUAUCUUAUAAUUGAGUCGAUAUCAAGAGGAGUAUUUUCAUAUUUCCGUAUUAUAUAUUAAAGCAUUUUCUUCUAAGUAAACAUUCAUUUUUUUUUGUCUUCUGAUUUUAAAAGAAAUGGAAACAUUUUCGUGGGUCCUGGGCCCUGCGCCUGCUGCAUCUGAUGGAGAAGUCAGGCCUGCCUGCCCCUCUGCUCCCUGACCACCAACUUCCAUUCCCUCCCCCUCUCUCUCCUCCCCUCAGCGACAGUGCUUCACUCUUUUUUUUUUUUUUUCUUUCUCUUUUCAGGGCUGCACCUGCAGCAUAUGGAAGUUUCCAGGCUAGGGGUCGAAUCAGCUGCUGAUCUAUACCACAGCCACCACAACUUGGGAUCUGAGCCUCGUCUGUGACCUACACCACAGCGCAUGGCAACGCCAGACCCUUAACCUGCUGAUCCAGGGCAGGGAUCGAACCUGCACCCUCAUGGAUACUAGUCAGGCUGGUUACUGCUGCGCCAUAAUGGGAACGCCCGUGCAGUGCUUCACUCUUGGUGCUGGUCCCAUUCUGCAGGUUUUCUCCUCUCCUGGACCAUGAACCCCCAGGUUCUUUUUGCAUCCCCUGGGCUAGAACCAGAGCUGGGGACAGAAUGUUCCCGCUGACUCUGGGCCCCCUGGCCCUGCACUGGGGACAGACCUUCUGUGAGCAGGGGCUUCUUCCCCAUAAGCCCACAGGCAGUUAUCUCCAUCAGGUUCUGCUUUCAGGCUUUCUCCCUCGUUUCCCUGAAAGCUUUAGAGAUGUGGCAGUACAGAGAAGUGACUUUUCUUGGGCAGUUGUGAGAGGUCCUGCAUCUUGAUUGGCACAUGGGGGGCAAUAAUCAGAUGUCCCCCACUCACCCCCCAGCAGGCUUAUAAUAAGCCUUUCAUCUACCCAGGCGCUUUUUUUUUUUAGGGCUGUACCCGUGGCAUAUGGAAGUUCCCAGGCUAGGGGUGGAAUCAGAGCUACUGCUCUGGCCUACACCACAGCCACAGCAAUGCCGGAUCCUUAACCCACUGAGUCAAGCCAGGGAUCAAACCUGGGUCCUUAUGGAUUGUAGUUGAAUUUGUUUCUGCUGCGCCAGGACGGGAACUCUCAUCCAGACCCUUCUUGUUGAACAGCUACUCUGUGCCAGCAAGACCCACCCAGUCUCUGUCCUCAUGGAAACCAGAGGGGCAGAAAAACAGCUAGAGCAUCCUGAGAAUUAUUAUAAGCCCUAGGAGAUUGUGGAUAAGGAGUCAGCUUUUCAUGGACACCAAAGCAGGAAGUGCAGUCCGGCUUCACAAAGGAGAACCAGUCACGGGAAAAAAGUCAUCCUCAGUUGUCACAUCGUCUCCCUCCUCCCUGUUGUCACAUUGUCUCCCUCCUCCCUGUCUGGGGCCCCAGGUCUCACCAUCUGGUAACUCUCUCCUCCCCCAUCCCUCAGCCCUGGCUGCUGCUUCCUGCUCCUCUGAGCACAUGGCUCAGUGAUGGUCACCCCAAAAUGACCGUCUCAGCUCUGCAUCUGUAGGACCUCACGACUCCUCGGGGCCUAGAUUCCCAGGAGAAAAGCUAAGCGGCCUGGCUGGGGUGGCGACCUUCUGGUCUGAGUAGCUGGUGGGGCCAGGUGGGGUCAGCUGAUGGAGAAAGCUGACCCUUCUCAUCUGUAAUGGGGCCUGUUCCCCAGAAGGGUGUGCAGACAGAGGUGGGGACCACUACCCAAAACCAUUUCACAGUUUAGGGUGGCACUUGCUGACUUUUGAAUGUGUGCCGGUGGGGAGAUUUGUUGAACUGAGACAUCUGCCUAAGAUCCCCAAGUUCUAAUUCACUCUCUGUUACCACCAUCAUAUGAUGGAAAACAAGACAAAAUAGGAAGGCCCCAAUGUGGGAAUUUUCAGCAAGUAAUUAUUUUUCAUUAAUUCGUAUAAGUGAGUCAUUAACCAAGGGACCUGCACUGUUCUUGGUUUCUUCAUUUUACCAAAGAGAACUAAGAACUUGGGUCAUAGACCUGAUCUGGUCUGUGGACCCACAUUGGGAACCCAUGGACAUUAAAGAGCCCACGCAGGUCACUUAAUGAUGUCCACAGAACACGGACCUCCCAGCCCUGGGCUCAGAGCCCAAGGUCGUGCACCAUUUAAUGCAGGGCCUCCUCCAGGCAGCGUCACUGCCUCCACCUUGUGAGCUGGAGGCAGUGAAGCUCGGGGCCUUGUCCACAGUGCUCAAGAAGGAGUGGGGUUUGAUUCCAAGUUAUUGGCUCCUUCAGGCGGGUCCUUUGGGGUGAGGGAGAUGGGUGAGGCGCCUCUAAGAGAGGCAAGCCUGUGUCACGGGUGUGCUAGUGGAAUGAACAAGCUGUUCAAAGAGUAACAGGACUCUGGACAGUUCCCCAAAGAGAGGUGUUUCCUUAGUUGGGCCAGGUGAGGUCACCUGAUGGAGACGGAAGUGUUGGCAGAAGGCAGGGGUGGAUGCAGAGCCCAGGCCAGACUUUACAGUCAGGCAGCCAAGCUUGGGCUGCAGGGAAGCGACACCAGCCAGUCUGUAUUUGAGAAAGACAGCCUUAUUUGGGAAUGUGGAGGUUGAACCAACAUUUGCAGAUUAGAAAUCUGUGCUGGAAGACACUUUCAAAGAGAGCAAAUGUUUGGCGUAUGCGGAUGGACUCAAAUUGACUGAUUUCUGCAAAUGCAUUCCUGGUCGCAAGCUACACUAAUGUUCCACCUCCCUGGGGGCAGCCAUGGAGCGACCUCGACUUUGAAUGUUAAUUCCCUUCAUUGGAGAAAACCGCUGGCUUAUAAAAGAACUUCCACCCUCUUCGUGAGACUCCCGUAAUUUAUACAGUGGCUUUGUUUAUAGAGCCCAUGGAGAGCACAGUCGAAUUUAGCAGCUCUGUGGGUGGUGGGUGGGACCUAAUGGCCCGAAAUGACAGACGAGGAAAAAGGCUGGGGCUGCCUUGGGAGCGUGCCCAGAGUCACACGGGUGGAGCAGGAAGGAGGACCAGGCUCUCUGGGCCUCCCAGUCUUACCCCAGUGGACAACUUCACUCCAAGUCCAGAGCCCUGCAGUUAGGUCGCACCUGCACCUGGGAGGGUUCUUCUGCUCUUGGCUCUCCCUUGGCACGGGUCCUUGUUGACUGCUGACUGCUUCGUUUCCUGGGCUGCAGGGACAGUAACACAAGCUGGGUGGCUCCAAACAACAGGAAUGUGUUCUGGAGGCCAGAAGUUUGAAAUCAGGGUGUCAGUAGGGCCGUGCUCCCAUUGAAGGUUCUAGGGGGACAUCUAGCCCUUGCAUCUUCGAAGCUUCUCCUGGCUGCUGGUGGCCCUUGUGUUACUGCUCCAGUCUCUGUCUCCAUCUUCACGUGACCUUCUCCCGGGGCGCCGUGUGUCUCUCCAUCCUUUCUUUUAUAAAGAUACCAGGCAUUGGAUGUAGGACCACUUUAAUCCAGUGUGGUCUCAUCUUAACUUGACUAAUCUGCAGAAACCCAAAAAGGGUCAUGAGUACCAGUCUCUCAGUGUAAUGGGUUGAAUAUAUCUUUUGGGGGAUGACCCUGAGACUGCCUGGUGGCAAGGUCUCUAGGGAACCGUGUCCUCAACCAGAAGGUUCUAUGAGUAGUCACUUCUCUCUGGCCUGUGGGGGUCUCACCUGUCCCCCAAGGAGCUCUGGGUCUUCUGGCCCCUCUGCCAGGAUGGGGCAUUAGGUUGGUUCUGCCAGCUUAGAGCUCAGGGGGAUGGGUUGUGCUGCUCUGGCGUCUGUUUGGGAUGCUGCCAAAGGCUGGAUGCGGUGAGUGGGUAUCUUCGUUAGCACAUCGUGUUUGGGGGAGCCAGGCGGCCCCAGGCUGGCUGUGGCAUCCUUCCUUGGGGUCCUGGGAGGCAGCUGGUUCUUUGCUCCGUCUGGGUAUCAUUCUGACUUCAGGGCAGCCGUGUUUGGGGAGGUGGCACGGUGCUUAGACAUGUGAGCUAGCCUGGUUCCUGCCCCCUCCAGAUCGCAGACAUCUCCAGGGCAGGGACGUCUGGUCAUUUCUGUUUUCCCUCCAGCAGAGUUUUGGACCCUUGGGAGUUGCCGCUUGUUUACAAAUGCACUCACCACGCAGUAGGCAUCCUGAGAUACCCCUGGCGGGUCUCUUCACACCGUGCGCAGUGCAGGGCUGCUGUGGGAUUCCAUGAGCUCGUGUACAUUAAUUAAAACCGCACACUCGAGAAAUGUCAACUCUGGUUAUGAUCUCGGGGAUGUUUAAGGAGGAAGCGGCAGGGCUUGGUUGACAAACAGAGCGUCAUCAAAGAUGGCUCCUCGCUGUCUGGCCAAGGGAUGGGUGACAGCGAGGGUCCCGUGGAAACAGAUCCUAGGAGAGGAUGGCGGGGGCGGGGGGAGGGGGGGAGCAGAGCAGGAGUUCCGGCAGGAGUGCCCUGUUCCGUUGGAAGUGCAGAGGGCUGCCUGGGAUGUUUAGGUUUGGAAGAUGGGAAUUCAAGGUCUUAGGAGACGGGAGCCUGGGGCAGCCUGGGGCUGGGGUGGGCAUGGGGUUGGCAAACCUGAAAUUACCGCCUGCCUGGCCCUUUAAGGAAAACUUUGCUGCAAAGAGUCCAAGUGGCCCGCAGAGCAGGGGCCGUCCUUGUCCGCUCCUUACAGCUGUGACAGUUGGGAUCUGUCCUCCUGCUUCUUUGUGUGGCCUUGAUCCCUGCAACUGCCUGGAUGCUCCCUGAGGGAUGGGGCUGCUUCUGAAAGACCGCCAGCCCCCCUUGCAGCCAGCAGAGUGCCAGAUACAUAGUAAGUGGUUGCGUGUAAGAAGCCUGGACCUGAGGCAGCGGGUUCAAGGGCCGAGUCCCCAACCCCGGCUGUCUUUGUGGGUACUCUCCCUUUCCCAGGGAUCAUUUGGAAAAUUCUGAUGCCUGGGCCUCCUCAGUUUGCCUUAGGGUUCAGCUGGUCUGAGCUGGGGCCUAGGCAGCAGGACUUUUGAAAGCUCACCGCUCAUGCUGCCUCUGGGGCUCAGAUGUGCUACCGAGCACCUGAGGAGCAGCGCGGCUGGGCACCCGCCUGCCUUGCUGGGCCAGUUUCGUCUUUCACUCUGAGGCCCAGCCUUGCAGACAUGAUGCCUGUGGUGGGCCCAGCACAAUGCCUGGUCCAUAGACACCCUGGUGAUUCAAAGCCAAGAGCCGAUAUUUGCCAUGCACAGCCUUGGCAAACUCUGCGUUGGGAAACAGCGGGUUUCUGGAAGAGGAAGAGGAGCAGCCAGUGCCCGAUGGUCCAAAGCUGGGUCAGUGGUGGUGAGCGCCCGUUAAAGGGUGAGUAGGGGAGUUCCCAUUGUGGCUCAGCAGUAAUGAACCAGACUAGUAUCCAUGAGGAUGCAGGUUCGAUCCCUGGCCUCGCUCAGUGGGUUAAGGGUCCUGCAUUGCCAUGAGCUGCGGUGUAGGUUGCAGAAGUGGCUCAGAUCUGGUGUUACUAUGGCUGUGGUGUUGGCUGGCAGCUACAGGUCCAGUUCGACCCCUAGCCUGGGAACUUCCGCAUGUCGCAGAUUCGGCCCCAAUAAAAGGGGGCCAGUAGGGACGUUCCCUUUGUGGCUCCACAGGUUAAGAACCUGACUAGUAUGCAUGAGGAUGCCUAUUCCAUCCGUGGCCUCGCUCAGUGGGUUAAGGAUCUGGUGGUGUCAUGAGCUGUGGUGUAGGUCGCAGACACACUCAGAUCUGGCGUGGUGUGGCUGUGGCUGUGGCCAGCAACUGCAGCUUCAGUUUGACCCCUAGCCUGGGAACUUCCAUGUGCUGCUGGUUCAGCUAUUUAAAAAAAAAAAAAAAAAA